Molecule: long non-coding RNA, 217 nt
Filed under: Brassica rapa (field mustard)
Lineage: Eukaryota; Viridiplantae; Streptophyta; Magnoliopsida; Brassicales; Brassicaceae
Description: long non-coding RNA (BRAP_LNC007664)
Source: RNAcentral
UUAGGGUUUAGGAUUUAGGGAUUAGGAUUUAGGGUUUAGGGUUUAGUGUUUUGCUGACGACUUGAAAAAUAUUUUUUUUUUACUUUUUUUUUUAAAACAAAAUAUAACUUGAUAAAAUUUUGUUUUCUUUUUUAAAAAGUAUCGAAUUUGAAAUAAUAAAAUCCUAUUGGUUGGUGAACCUAGAAGUUCACCAUACGGGAACGCGAACAAAGAAAAG